Molecule: ribosomal RNA, 590 nt
Filed under: uncultured bacterium
Lineage: Bacteria
Description: bacterial SSU rRNA
Rfam family: Bacterial small subunit ribosomal RNA
Source: RNAcentral
UCCUACGGGAGGCAGCAGUAGGGAAUCUUCCGCAAUGGACGAAAGUCUGACGGAGCAACGCCGCGUGAGUGAUGAAGGCUUUCGGGUCGUAAAACUCUGUUGUUAGGGAAGAACAAGUGCUAGUUGAAUAAGCUGGCACCUUGACGGUACCCAACCAGAAAGCCACGGCUAACUACGUGCCAGCAGCCGCGGUAAUACGUAGGUGGCAAGCGUUAUCCGGAAUUAUUGGGCGUAAAGCGCGCGCAGGUGGUUUCUUAAGUCUGAUGUGAAAGCCCACGGCUCAACCGUGGAGGGUCAUUGGAAACUGGGAGACUUGAGUGCAGAAGUGGAAAGUGGAAUUCCAUGUGUAGCGGUGAAAUGCGUAGAGAUAUGGAGGAACACCAGUGGCGAAGGCGACUUUCUGGUCUGUAACUGACACUGAGGCGCGAAAGCGUGGGGAGCAAACAGGAUUAGAUACCCUGGUAGUCCACGCCGUAAACGAUGAGUGCUAAGUGUUAGAGGGUUUCCGCCCUUUAGUGCUGAAGUUAACGCAUUAAGCACUCCGCCUGGGGAGUACGGCCGCAAGGCUGAAACUCAAAUGAAUUGACGGA